RNAcentral lists this small nuclear RNA (269 nucleotides) under Octodon degus (degu). RNAcentral describes it as "7SK RNA (ENSODEG00000024550.1)". It matches the Rfam family "7SK RNA". Rfam says of the family: 7SK was discovered as an abundant small nuclear RNA in the mid-70s but a possible function has only recently been suggested. Two independent studies have found that 7SK RNA binds the CDK9/cyclin T complex (known as elongation factor P-TEFb). The record is from RNAcentral. Lineage: Eukaryota; Metazoa; Chordata; Mammalia; Rodentia; Octodontidae.
GGAUCAUGUGAAGCAAUCUGGCUGUGACAUUUGUCACUUCACUGGUCAACAGGGUUAGUUUGGCUGAUCUGGCUGGCCAGGUGGGCAUCCCCUUUCUCCCUCACUGCUCCACAUGUGUCCUUCUCUGACCCUCCAAAUUGUGCACUAGGUCAGAGAGGAGGACUUUUUCCAUAAAGGAAGAUCAUUUCCUCAGUCAGGGGUAUAUGAGUGACCUCCAAACAAGUUCUCAACAAUGUUUCUGCCCAUUCAAAGUCAUCUUGUUUUAUUUU